GACGAACGCUGGCGGCGUGCUUAACACAUGCAAGUCGAACGGAAAGGCCCUGCUUUUGUGGGGUGCUCGAGUGGCGAACGGGUGAGUAACACGUGAGUAACCUGCCCUUGACUUUGGGAUAACUUCAGGAAACUGGGGCUAAUACCGGAUAGGAUCUCCUGCUGCAUGGUGGGGGUUGGAAAGUUUCGGCGGUUGGGGAUGGACUGGCGGCUUAUCAGCUUGUUGGUGGGGUAGUGGCUUACCAAGGCUUGCACGGGUAGCCGGCCUGAGAGGGUGACCGGCCACACUGGGACUGAGAUAAGGCACAGCCUCCUAUGGGAGGCAGCAGUGGGGAAUAUUGCACAAUGGGCGGAAGCCUGAUGCAGCCAAGCAGCGUGCGGGAUGACGGCCUUCGGGUUGUAAACCGCUUUCGUCUUUGACGAAGUGUGAGUGACGGUAAUGGGUAAAGAAGCACCGGCUAACUACGUG
This 468-nucleotide ribosomal RNA is filed under the name uncultured bacterium. RNAcentral's name for it is "partial 16S ribosomal RNA". It matches the Rfam family "Bacterial small subunit ribosomal RNA", at positions 28 to 507 of the family's 1533-position model. The record is from RNAcentral.